RNAcentral lists this ribosomal RNA (455 nucleotides) under uncultured bacterium. Its description in RNAcentral is "bacterial SSU rRNA". It matches the Rfam family "Bacterial small subunit ribosomal RNA", at positions 340 to 786 of the family's 1533-position model. The record is from RNAcentral.
UACGGGAGGCAGCAGUGGGGAAUAUUGCACAAUGGGCGCAAGCCUGAUGCAGCCAUGCCGCGUGUAUGAAGAAGGCCUUCGGGUUGUAAAGUACUUUCAGCGGGGAGGAAGGCGAUGCGGUUAAUAACCGCGUCGAUUGACGUUACCCGCAGAAGAAGCACCGGCUAACUCCGUGCCAGCAGCCGCGGUAAUACGGAGGGUGCAAGCGUUAAUCGGAAUUACUGGGCGUAAAGCGCACGCAGGCGGUCUGUUAAGUCAGAUGUGAAAUCCCCCGGGCUUAACCUGGGAACUGCAUUUUGAAACUGGCAGGCUUGAGUCUUGUAGAGGGGGUAGAAUUCCAGGUGUAGCGGUGAAAUGCGUAGAGAUCUGGAGGAAUACCGGUGGCGAAGGCGGCCCCCUGGACAAAGACUGACGCUCAGGUGCGAAAGCGUGGGGAGCAAACAGGAUUAGAUACC